This 1192-nucleotide long non-coding RNA is filed under the name Erythranthe guttata (spotted monkey flower). RNAcentral's name for it is "long non-coding RNA (EGUT_LNC003269)". The record is from RNAcentral. Lineage: Eukaryota; Viridiplantae; Streptophyta; Magnoliopsida; Lamiales; Phrymaceae.
UAGAACCUCAAGGAUGGUGAGUGCACUCGAGAAAGCUCCGCUCGAAGAUGGUUACGUAUCGUACCCAUGGGAGCAUAGAAUGCACGAGAUGCUCUCGGUUCCGAAUUCAAGCACAUUCUAUUCCAUUAAUUGCUGCUCUGCACUCGCGUCUCCUCCGAGCGGCGAUUAGACAUCAAUUGAAGUGGUUGAAAUUAUUAAUUGCCUAAUGUAUUACUUGCGUUCCCACAAGAGAAAACAUGAAGAGGAGAGAAAGACGAAGAGGAAGACGAGGAAGACGAAGUGGAUUACUUGCGACCCGACCGCCGAGUCCAUUGCUUCUAGUAGCACUCCGGUAAAUUGUGUUCUGCUUUUCUCUGUUUUUUUCCAAAUAAUGUUGGUCUUAGUGUCAUAUACUUUGGAGGUGCGAUAUACUUUCGUAAAUUUCUACUAUUCGCUUAGCCACUUUUUUUGCAACUUUUUCGUUUGUUAGAAAGCUGUUUAGAGGUUGUAAUAGGAAGGAAACAUCCUUUUUUGUGUGGCUCUGCUUUUCUCUGUUUUUUCGAAAUUAUUUUGGUCUUAGUGUCAUAUACUUUGGAGGUGCGAUAUACUUUCUUAAGCAGAAAUCGAAGCGACAAAAAUAGGUGAAAUCGUAAAUUUCUACUAUAAGCCGCUAGUUCUAGUUUUUGGGUCCAUGAACACGAGUCUUCAAUGGUUUAGUACCCUCAGCGAAGUUUAGCCACUUUUUUUGCAGUUUUUUCGUUUGUUAGAAAGCUGUUUAGAGGUUGUAAUAGGAAGGAAACAUCCUUUUUGUGUGGCUAUCUUAGCUGAGAGGUUAACUGUGGGUGCUGGACUUUGAAGAUUCUUGUAAGUGGCCCUGUUUUUAAUGUUUUUAGCUUCUGAACUACUAGCUAGGGUUGAAGCUUGUCCUGUGGAUCUUUGUAGUGUCUUUGUUAAGGUUGUUUUACGGUUGCUUUUGGCAGUUUCACAGAAUGUGCUUUGGCCGUGGGAGCAAUUUGUUUUGCUCUGCCAUGACGACCAAUUUUUAUUUUCCCGAGCACUAGUUUUGCAGGUUUCUCUCCUGACCCUGUCAGGAUCGAUUACUUGGUUCUAAAUUUAUAUGUGAUUGUUUAUGUGACAUUAUCUUGCUUCUUGUUCCUUAUCUUAUUCAUAAGUUUGAUUUUGUCUUGUUUAUUUAUCGUAGAUGCCAGCCCAU